GAUGAACGCUGGCGGCGUGCCUAAUACAUGCAAGUCGAGCGAACGGACGAGAAGCUUGCUUCUCUGAUGUUAGCGGCGGACGGGUGAGUAACACGUGGAUAACCUACCUAUAAGACUGGGAUAACUUCGGGAAACCGGAGCUACUACCGGAUGAUAUUUUGAACCGCAUGGUUCAAAAGUGAAAGACGGUCUUGCUGUCACUUAUAGAUGGAUCCGCGCUGCAUUAGCUAGUUGGUAAGGUAACGGCUUACCAAGGCAACGAUGCAUAGCCGACCUGAGAGGGUGAUCGGCCACACUGGAACUGAGACACGGUCCAGACUCCUACGGGAGGCAGCAGUAGGGAAUCUUCCGCAAUGGGCGAAAGCCUGACGGAGCAACGCCGCGUGAGUGAUGAAGGUCUUCGGAUCGUAAAACUCUUUUAUUAGGGAAGAACAUAUGUGUAAGUAACUGUGCACAUCUUGACGGUACCUAAUCAGAAAGCCACGGCUAACUACGUG
Molecule: ribosomal RNA, 497 nt
Filed under: uncultured bacterium
Lineage: Bacteria
Description: partial 16S ribosomal RNA
Rfam family: Bacterial small subunit ribosomal RNA
Source: RNAcentral